RNAcentral lists this ribosomal RNA (379 nucleotides) under uncultured organism. RNAcentral's name for it is "partial 16S ribosomal RNA". It matches the Rfam family "Bacterial small subunit ribosomal RNA", at positions 527 to 897 of the family's 1533-position model. The record is from RNAcentral.
GGAGGUUGCAAGCGUUGUUCGGGAUUUACUGGGGCGUAAAGGGAGCGCAGGCGGCCUGGUCAGUCUAAAGUGAAAGCCCCGGGGGGCUCAACCCCGGGAAGUGCUUUGGAUACUGCCAGGCUUGAGUACGCGAGAGGAGUGCGGAAUUUCAGGUGUAGCGGUGAAAUGCGUAGAUAUCUGAAGGAACACCAGUGGUGAAAGCGGCACUCUGGCGCGAUACUGACGCUGAGGCUCGAAAGCGUGGGGAGCGAACGGGAUUAGAUACCCCGGUAGUCCACGCCGUAAACGUUGUGCACUAGGUGUGGGAGGUAUCGACCCCUUCCGUGCCGGAGCUAACGCAUUAAGUGCACCGCCUGGGGAGUACGAUCGCAAAGAUUGA